UUCCUCUGAGGUGUCAUUUCUAAUCACACU
This 30-nucleotide non-coding RNA is filed under the name Macaca fascicularis (crab-eating macaque). Lineage: Eukaryota; Metazoa; Chordata; Mammalia; Primates; Cercopithecidae. The record is from RNAcentral. RNAcentral also lists the same sequence under 1 other name.